This 253-nucleotide ribosomal RNA is filed under the name uncultured bacterium. RNAcentral describes it as "partial 16S ribosomal RNA". It matches the Rfam family "Bacterial small subunit ribosomal RNA", at positions 524 to 776 of the family's 1533-position model. The record is from RNAcentral.
UACGGAGGGUGCGAGCGUUGUUCGGAAUUACUGGGCGUAAAGCGCGUGUAGGCGGCCUUCUAAGUCUGGUGUGAAAGCCCGGGGCUCAACCCCGGAAGUGCAUUGGAUACUGGGAGGCUGGAGUACCGGAGAGGAGGGUGGAAUUCCUGGUGUAGCGGUGAAAUGCGUAGAUAUCUGGAGGAACACCGGUGGCGAAGGCGGCAUCCUGGACCGACACUGACGCUGAGGAGCGAAAGCCAGGGGAGCAAACGGG